GUGGCUCAGAGGUUAAGAGCACUGGUUGUUCUUUCAGAGGUCCUGAGUUCAAUUCUCAGC
Molecule: transfer RNA, 60 nt
Organism: Neotoma lepida (desert woodrat)
Lineage: Eukaryota; Metazoa; Chordata; Mammalia; Rodentia; Cricetidae
Rfam family: tRNA
About the family: Transfer RNA (tRNA) molecules are approximately 80 nucleotides in length.
Source: Rfam